GAGAGGUGCUGCAUGGCUGUCGUCAGCUCGUGUUGUGAAAUGUUGGGUUAAGUCUCGCAACGAGCGCAACCCCUAUCGUCUGUUGCCAGCAUUAAGUUGGGCACUCUGACGAGACUGCCUGGGUUAACCAGGAGGAAGGUGGGGAUGACGUCAAGUCCUCAUGGCCCUUAUGUCUAGGGCUACACACGUAAUACAAUGGCGCGCACAAUGGGAGGCGAACUCGCAAGGGGGAGCAAAUCUCAAAAAGCGCGUCUCAGUUCGGAUUGAAGUCUGCAACUUGACUUCAUGAAGUUGGAAUCGCUAGUA
Molecule: ribosomal RNA, 306 nt
Filed under: uncultured Peredibacter sp.
Lineage: Bacteria; Pseudomonadati; Bdellovibrionota; Bacteriovoracia; Bacteriovoracales; Bacteriovoracaceae
Description: bacterial SSU rRNA
Rfam family: Bacterial small subunit ribosomal RNA
Source: RNAcentral